CCUACGGGACGCAGCAGUGAGGAAUAUUGGUCAAUGGGCGAGAGCCUGAACCAGCCAAGUCGCGUGAAGGAUGACGGCCCUACGGGUUGUAAACUUCUUUUGUCAGGGAGCAAUUGGGUCCACGUGUGGGCUUAGCGAGAGUACCUGAAGAAAAAGCAUCGGCUAACUCCGUGCCAGCAGCCGCGGUAAUACGGAGGAUGCGAGCGUUAUCCGGAUUUAUUGGGUUUAAAGGGUGCGCAGGCGGAGGCACAAGUCAGCGGUAAAAUCGCGGGGCUCAACCCCGCUCCGCCGUUGAAACUGUGUCC
Molecule: ribosomal RNA, 305 nt
Filed under: uncultured bacterium
Lineage: Bacteria
Description: bacterial SSU rRNA
Rfam family: Bacterial small subunit ribosomal RNA
Source: RNAcentral